This 906-nucleotide ribosomal RNA is filed under the name uncultured bacterium. RNAcentral describes it as "bacterial SSU rRNA". It matches the Rfam family "Bacterial small subunit ribosomal RNA", at positions 10 to 916 of the family's 1533-position model. The record is from RNAcentral.
AGUUUGAUCCUGGCUCAGGAUGAACGCUAGCGGCAGGCCUAAUACGUGCAAGUCGGACGGGAUUGAGAAGCUUGCUUUUCAUGAGAGUGGCGCACGGGUGCGUAACACGUAUGUAACCUACCUUUGUCAGGGGGAUAGCCUCUCGAAAGAGAGAUUAAGACCGCAUAACAUCACGAAGCAGCAUUGUUUUGUGAUCAAAUAUUUAUAGGACAAAGAUGGGCAUGCGGGACAUUAGCUAGUUGGCGGGGUAACGGCCCACCAAGGCGACGAUGUCUAGGGGAUCUGAGAGGAUGGCCCCCCACACUGGUACUGAGACACGGACCAGACUCCUACGGGAGGCAGCAGUAAGGAAUAUUGGUCAAUGGGCGGAAGCCUGAACCAGCCAUGCCGCGUGCAGGAAGACGGCCCUACGGGUUGUAAACUGCUUUUGCAGGGGAAUAAACCUCGGUACGUGUACCGAGCUGAAUGUACUCUGAGAAUAAGGAUCGGCUAACUCCGUGCCAGCAGCCGCGGUAAUACGGAGGAUCCAAGCGUUAUCCGGAUUUAUUGGGUUUAAAGGGUGCGUAGGCGGCCUAUUAAGUCAGGGGUGAAAGACGGUAGCUUAACUAUCGCAGUGCCUUUGAUACUGAUAGGCUUGAAUGGACUAGAGGUAGGCGGAAUGUGACAAGUAGCGGUGAAAUGCAUAGAUAUGUCACAGAACACCAAUUGCGAAGGCAGCUUACUAUGGUUUUAUUGACGCUGAGGCACGAAAGCGUGGGGAUCAAACAGGAUUAGAUACCCUGGUAGUCCACGCCCUAAACGAUGAACACUCGAUGUUAGCGAUAUACAGUUAGCGUCUAAGCGAAAGCGUUAAGUGUUCCACCUGGGGAGUACGCCCGCAAGGGUGAAACUCAAAGGAAUUGACGG